UUUAGGUUGUGUUCUCUAUGUAAACCU
Molecule: non-coding RNA, 27 nt
Filed under: Rattus norvegicus (Norway rat)
Lineage: Eukaryota; Metazoa; Chordata; Mammalia; Rodentia; Muridae
Source: RNAcentral